GUAGGUAACCUGCCUUGUAGCGGGGGAUAACUAUUGGAAACGAUAGCUAAUACCGCAUAACAAUGGAUGANACAUGUCAUUUAUUUUGAAAGGGGGCAAUUGCUCCACUACAAGAUGGACCUGCGUUGUAUUAGCUAGUAGGUGAGGUAAUGGCUCACCUAGGCGACGAUACAUAGCCGACCUGAGAGGGUGAUCGGCCACACUGGGACUGAGACACGGCCCAGACUCCUACGGGAGGCAGCAUG
RNAcentral lists this ribosomal RNA (245 nucleotides) under uncultured bacterium. RNAcentral's name for it is "partial 16S ribosomal RNA". It matches the Rfam family "Bacterial small subunit ribosomal RNA", at positions 117 to 353 of the family's 1533-position model. The record is from RNAcentral.